RNAcentral lists this ribosomal RNA (301 nucleotides) under uncultured bacterium. RNAcentral's name for it is "partial 16S ribosomal RNA". It matches the Rfam family "Bacterial small subunit ribosomal RNA", at positions 509 to 807 of the family's 1533-position model. The record is from RNAcentral.
CAGUAGCCGCGGGAAUACGUAGGGUGCGAGCGUUAAUCGGAAUUACUGGGCGUAAAGCGUGCGCAGGCGGUUCGUUAAGACAGAUGUGAAAGCCCUGGGCUCAACCUAGGAAUUGCAUUUGAUACUGUUUGGCUUGAGUUCGGGAGAGGUGAGUGGAAUUCCCAGUGUAGAGGUGAAAUUCGUAGAUAUUGGGAAGAACACCGGUGGCGAAGGCGGCUCACUGGACCGACACUGACGCUGAGGCGCGAAAGCGUGGGGAGCAAACAGGAUUAGAUACCCCGGUAGUCCCUGUCUCUUAUAC